ACCUUCGUGGUGUAGUGGUCAGCACGCUCGACGCGCAACCGAGAGGUCCGUGGUUCGAUUCCCGGCGAAGGCG
This 73-nucleotide transfer RNA is filed under the name Stegodyphus mimosarum. It matches the Rfam family "tRNA". From Rfam's summary of the family: Transfer RNA (tRNA) molecules are approximately 80 nucleotides in length. Their secondary structure includes four short double-helical elements and three loops (D, anti-codon, and T loops). The record is from Rfam by way of RNAcentral. Lineage: Eukaryota; Metazoa; Arthropoda; Arachnida; Araneae; Eresidae.